This 253-nucleotide ribosomal RNA is filed under the name uncultured bacterium. Its description in RNAcentral is "partial 16S ribosomal RNA". It matches the Rfam family "Bacterial small subunit ribosomal RNA", at positions 524 to 776 of the family's 1533-position model. The record is from RNAcentral.
UACGAAGGGUGCAAGCGUUACUCGGAAUUACUGGGCGUAAAGCGUGCGUAGGUGGUUCGUUAAGUCUGAUGUGAAAGCCCUGGGCUCAACCUGGGAAUGGCAUUGGAUACUGGCGACCUAGAGUGCGGUAGAGGGGUGUGGAAUUCCCGGUGUAGCAGUGAAAUGCGUAGAUAUCGGGAGGAACAUCUGUGGCGAAGGCGACACCCUGGACCAGCACUGACACUGAGGCACGAAAGCGUGGGGAUCAAACAGG